CCUACGGGAGGCAGCAGUAGGGAAUCUUUCACAAUGGGCGAAAGCCUGAUGGAGUAACGCCGCGUGCAGGAUGAAGGCCUUCGGGUUGUAAACUGCUUUUAUCAGCGAGAAAUAUGAUGGUAACUUAUGAAUAAGGAUCGGCUAACUCCGUGCCAGCAGCCGCGGUCAUACGUAGGAGCCGAGCAUUAUCCGGAGUGACUGGGUGUAAAGAGUUGCGUAGGUGGCAUAAUAAGUAGCUAGUGAAAUCUGGUGGCUCAACCAUUCAGACUAUUAGCUAAACUGUUAAGCUCGAGACCGGUAGGGGUAACUGGAAUGUCUAGUGUAGGAGUGAAAUCCGUAGAUAUUAGAAGGAACACCAAUAGCGUAGGCAGGUUGCUGGGACGGGUCUGACACUAAGGCACGAAGGCGUAGGGAGCAAACGGGAUUAGAUACCCGAGUAGUC
Molecule: ribosomal RNA, 442 nt
Filed under: uncultured bacterium
Lineage: Bacteria
Description: partial 16S ribosomal RNA
Rfam family: Bacterial small subunit ribosomal RNA
Source: RNAcentral